CAGGAUCCAGUCUCCAGUUCAGCUGUAUACAUUGCAGUCCUCACUUGUAUGAACUUCUCUUCAUAGAGCUUGUUAAAAGUCUUGACAGCCAGCUGACACCUGAUGCAUCAGUUGAAGCUCACAGAAAUGAAGGUAUUGUUGAAGCAUAGGAAACUCAGCUUCAUUCUGCACAAAAGCAGAAAUUUUCCCUGGAGAGGAACAACGCCUCUUCUACCAGCCCAAACAAACACUUACGUAAAAUGAGAAGGACCCUGUGGUCUUGAAGCAGAGACAAGUUCUCCCAAAACAAGCUAAGGAACACAAGAAUGAGAACUGCAGGACUAAAUCUAAAGAAGAGGAACAGAAUACCUGCCAUGUAGUUGAGGGACCACCAGCCGCCGUACGCGUACAGCCCCUGGAAGAAGGCUUCGGCAAUCUGUGAGGCGUUGGGGAUCUCUGAGCUGAACAUGUCCUCAAACCUGGCCAGACUCUCCUUUUGCCUGGUAACGAGGAGAACUAUGCCACCAACAGCAAUCACAGACAAGGCCAUCAUCUUCAGCAGAGUGAAAACUGUCUGCACCCACGCAGACAUUUUGACGCUGAGGCCAUUUAAAAUCCCCAGGGACCAGAGAACGGCCAAGGCCAAGCACUUCUUCAGCACGUCUGGUGCAGGACAAAUGCCAUAGAAUGGCUGUGUGGCAUAUUCAGCAAACAGCAAGGCUCGAGCAGCAUUUGAUGCUGGCUUGGUGAACGUUGCUGUCCAGAUAAACACGAAGGCGGGUAGGGAUCCAAGGCCUCUUUUAAUGUGGCUGUACUCUCCUCCAGAGAAGGGCAGAGCGGUUCCCAGCUCCGCAUAGCAGAGGGCACCCAUCAGAGAAACCAGCCCAGACGCAGUCCAGAUCGUUAAUGCAACGCCAACAUUGAGUAAGGAAUGUUUUAACACCCCUGUGGGAGACACGAAGAUCCCUGCUCCAACAAUUGAUCCUAUAAUAAAACUUAC
This is a long non-coding RNA of Zonotrichia leucophrys gambelii, 979 nucleotides long. RefSeq lists it as uncharacterized. The transcript has 3 exons. NCBI's taxonomy places the organism in Eukaryota, Metazoa, Chordata, Aves, Passeriformes, Passerellidae. The record is from RefSeq and is a predicted model, not a curated record.